UGGGGAAUAUUGCACAAUGGGCGCAAGCCUGAUGCAGCCAUGCCGCGUGUGUGAAGAAGGCCUUCGGGUUGUAAAGCACUUUCAGCGGGGAGGAAGGCGUUAAGGUUAAUAACCUUGGCGAUUGACGUUACCGACAGAAGAAGCACCGGCUAACUCCGUGCCAGCAGCCGCGGUAAUACGGAGGGUGCAAGCGUUAAUCGGAAUUACUGGGCGUAAAGCGCACGCAGGCGGUUGAUUGAGUCAGAUGUGAAAUCCCCGGGCUUAACCCGGGAAUUGCAUCUGAUACUGGUCAGCUAGAGUAGUGGAGAGGGGGGUAGAAUUCCAGGGGUAGCGGUGAAAAGCGUAGAGAUGUGGAGGAAUAACGGUGGCGAAGGCGGCCCCCUGGACAAAGACGGACGCUCAGGUGCGAAGGGGUGGGGAGCAAACAGG
RNAcentral lists this ribosomal RNA (429 nucleotides) under Chloroflexota bacterium. Its description in RNAcentral is "Chloroflexi bacterium partial 16S ribosomal RNA". It matches the Rfam family "Bacterial small subunit ribosomal RNA", at positions 355 to 776 of the family's 1533-position model. Lineage: Bacteria; Bacillati; Chloroflexota. The record is from RNAcentral.